AGAGCGAACGCUGGCGGCAUGCCUAACACAUGCAAGUCGCACGGUCGGGGGGAGACUUCCGGCAGUGGCGGACGGGUGAGUAACGCGUAGGGAUCUAUCCUUGGAUGGGGGACAACCGCGGGAAACCGCGGCUAAUACCGCAUGAUGCCUGAGGGCCAAAGCUCGCGAGAGCGUCUGGGGAGGAGCCUGCGUCCGAUUAGCUAGUUGGUGGGGUAACGCCCACCAAGGCGACGAUCGGUAGCUGGUCUGAGAGGAUGAUCAGCCACACUGGGACUGAGACACGGCCCAGACUCCUACGGGAGGCAGCAGUGGGGAAUAUUGGACAAUGGGCGCAAGCCUGAUCCAGCAAUGCCGCGUGGGUGAAGAAGGUCUUCGGAUUGUAAAGCCCUUUCGGCGGGGACGAUGAUGACGGUACCCGCAGAAGAAGCCCCGGCUAACUCGUGCCAGCAGCC
This 452-nucleotide ribosomal RNA is filed under the name uncultured bacterium. RNAcentral's name for it is "SSU rRNA". It matches the Rfam family "Bacterial small subunit ribosomal RNA", at positions 26 to 516 of the family's 1533-position model. The record is from RNAcentral.